UACAGAGGUCCCAAGCGUUGUUCGGAUUCACUGGGCGUAAAGGGUGCGUAGGUGGUUGGGUAAGUUUGAUGUGAAAUCUCCGGGCUCAACCCGGAAACGGCAUUGAAUACUAUUCGACUGGAGGGUUGGAGGGGGGACUGGAAUUCUCGGUGUAGCAGUGAAAUGCGUAGAUAUCGAGAGGAACACCAGUGGCGAAGGCGAGUCCCUGGACAACUCCUGACACUGAGGCACGAAAGCUGGGGGAGCAAACAGG
This 253-nucleotide ribosomal RNA is filed under the name uncultured bacterium. RNAcentral's name for it is "partial 16S ribosomal RNA". It matches the Rfam family "Bacterial small subunit ribosomal RNA", at positions 524 to 776 of the family's 1533-position model. The record is from RNAcentral.